ACCUGCGGAAGGAUCAUUACAGUAAUUGGGUUGUUGCUCAAAGUAGCACGCCCUCCAUAUAUACACACACCCUGUGCACUCUAUCUAUUACAGCCUGUCUCUAAUGCAUGUCGUUGAUAAUUCUACGGAAUAGAAUACAACUUUCAACAACGGAUCUCUUGGCUUUCGCAUCGAUGAAGGACGCCGCGAAAGUGCGAAACGUAAUGUGAAUUGCAGAAUUCAGUGAAUCAUCGAAUCUUUGAACGCAUCUUGCGCUCCUUGGUAUUCCGAGGAGCAUGCCUGUUUGAGUGUCGUGAAUCUCUCUCAAUCCCACUUCUGUGGGCUUGGAUUUGGAUGCUUGCUGUGGGGGGUUUGACCUCUUUCGGCUCGUCUUGAAAUUCAUCAGCUGGUCCGCCUAUGAGUUUGGUGGUGUGAUAAGAAACACUUGUAGCGCCAUUUCUAAACUCGGGGAGUUGACUGCUUUCAAUUUCAUUUUGUUUGACCUCAAAUCAGGUAGGACUACCCGCUGAACUUAAGCAUAUCAUA
This 525-nucleotide ribosomal RNA is filed under the name Clavariadelphus occidentalis. RNAcentral's name for it is "eukaryotic LSU rRNA". The stretch from base 139 to 293 matches the Rfam family "5.8S ribosomal RNA". Lineage: Eukaryota; Fungi; Basidiomycota; Agaricomycetes; Gomphales; Clavariadelphaceae. The record is from RNAcentral.